GACAAACGCAGACGGCGUGCCUAAUACAUGCAAGUCGAGCGAAGUUUUUCUGGUGCUUGCACUAGAAAAACUUAGCGGCGAACGGGUGAGUAACACGUAAAGAACCUGCCUCAUAGACUGGGGACAACUAUUGGAAACGAUAGCUAAUACCGGAUAACAGCAUUAACUGCAUGGUUGAUGUUUAAAAGUUGGUUUUGCUAACACUAUGAGAUGGCUUUGCGGUGCAUUAGCUAGUUGGUGGGGUAAAGGCCUACCAAGGCGACGAUGCAUAGCCGACCUGAGAGGGUGAUCGGCCACACUGGGACUGAGACACGGCCCAGACUCCUACGGGAGGUAGCAGUAGGGAAUCUUCCGCAAUGGGCGAAAGCCUGACGGAGCAACGCCGCGUGAGUGAAGAAGGAUUUCGGUUCGUAAAGCUCUGUUGUUAGGGAAGAAUGAUUGUGUAGUAACUAUACACAGUAGAGACGGUACCUAACCAGAAAGCCACGGCUAACUACGUGCCAGCAGCCGCGGUAAUACGUAGGUGGCAAGCGUUGUCCGGAAUUAUUGGGCGUAAGGCGCGCGCAGGUGGUUUAAUAAGUCUGAUGUGAAAGCCCACGGCUCAACCGUGGAGGGUCAUUGGAAACUGUUAAACUUGAGUGCAGGAGAGAAAAGUGGAAUUCCUAGUGUAGCGGUGAAAUGCGUAGAGAUUAGGAGGAACACCAGUGGCGAAGGCGGCUUUUUGGCCUGUAACUGACACUGAGGCGCGAAAGCGUGGGGAGCAAACAGG
RNAcentral lists this ribosomal RNA (769 nucleotides) under uncultured bacterium. Its description in RNAcentral is "bacterial SSU rRNA". It matches the Rfam family "Bacterial small subunit ribosomal RNA", at positions 28 to 776 of the family's 1533-position model. The record is from RNAcentral.